RNAcentral lists this ribosomal RNA (959 nucleotides) under uncultured Neocallimastigales. Its description in RNAcentral is "partial large subunit ribosomal RNA". It matches the Rfam family "Eukaryotic large subunit ribosomal RNA", at positions 22 to 632 of the family's 3401-position model. Lineage: Eukaryota; Fungi; Neocallimastigomycota; Neocallimastigomycetes; Neocallimastigales. The record is from RNAcentral.
AUAUCAGUCAUGCAUAGCAUAUCAAUAAGCGGAGGAAAAGAAACUAACAAGGAUUCCCUUAGUAACGGCGAGUGAAGCGGGAAGAGCUCAAAUUUGAAAUCUUCAAGGUUUUACCUUGACGAAUUGUAGUUUAAAGAAGUGUUUUCUGUUGAAGUUUUGGUAAAAGUUCUUUGGAAUAGGACAUCAUAGAGGGUGAGAAUCCCGUAUUUGACCAUUAUUUUCAGCUGUGUGAUACACUUUCAAAGAGUCGGAUUGUUUGGGAAUGCAGUCCAAAAUGGGUGGUAAAUUUCAUCUAAAGCUAAAUAUUGGCGAGAGACCGAUAGCGAACAAGUACCGUGAGGGAAAGAUGGAAAGAACUUUGAAAAGAGAGUUAAACAGUACGUGAAAUUGUCAAAAGGGAAGCGUUUGACACCAGUGUUGUUUUCUCGAAAAUCAAUUAAAAAAAGUUGGAUUUUGUGUUGUAUUGACCUUAACAGCUUUCUGCACUCUUUUCCUGCUUUUUUUAAUGCACUUUUCGUUUAACAAGUCAACAUCAGUUUCUUUUGUUGUAAAAGGGUCACUGGAAGGUGGCUUUCUUUUCGGAGAAAGUGUUUAUAGCCUUUGAUCUCUGCAAUCGGAGAGACUGAGGUCUGCAGCGUAGAUCCUUCGGGGUUAGAUACAUUUGUGCUAAGUUAUAACCUUUUCAUAGACAACUUGUUGACUAUGUUUUAGUCAUGUAGCUUACUCGCUUAUGCUAUUUUACCUACGCUUAGGAUGUUGAAGAUGUAGCACAUCAUACACGCAUGACACACUGCAUAUCAAUAAGCGGAGGAAAAGGUGGUUCUGACUUUAAUCCAAAAGGAAAAUCUGAUCACGAAAUUAUGGCAUUUUGCCAAAGCUUCAUGACUGAAUUGUAUCGCCAUAUUGGAGCAGAUACCGACGUACCUACGCUUAGGAUGUUGAUCUGUAAGUGCGUGCGC